Molecule: long non-coding RNA, 599 nt
Organism: Capsella rubella
Lineage: Eukaryota; Viridiplantae; Streptophyta; Magnoliopsida; Brassicales; Brassicaceae
Exons: 2
Source: RefSeq, a predicted model, not a curated record
UUCUUUUUUUUUUUGCUUUCUCGGGUAUCGAAGAUAACCCAGAUUCGUAGCUUGAAAAAUUCAUAAGCUCCGAGUAGAUUGAUGAUAAUUGGAUCCGAGUUUGGUUCAUCAAUCUGCUUUUUCCUUGUCCAAUCAAAACAAUAAAAUCAACCCCAAUUCAAUCUCUACUCCUGCGUCGCCUCCGGUUAAUAAUCCAUCACCACCGCCACCGGUUGGUCCAAUCUGCGUUGACUCCUCCUUACAAUCCAACGGUGGUAUUAUUAUGACUCAUCCUAAUUCUUCGUGGCCAUCAUUAUCAUUACCUCCGCCUCUCAGAUUGCAACGCGAGGAGGAAGACAAGCAAUGAGCUAAGAAAUUGUUGUUGCAUAUCGAUCGAAGACAUUAUUAUAUAUGUGAGGACGGUCAUGUUAGGUAUUCAUGGAGACUAACGACUGAGGAAAAAAUAGAACUAGAGAGGAGGCGCUAGGGUUUCCUGUGAAGGAGAAAGAUGAAAAAAAUAUUAAAAAAUUAAAUAUGUAUUUGGGCAGGCUCGAACGUGUUUCUGAAGCAUUAGACAUAUUACUUAUUACCACUAGACCAAUUUAAGAUAAUCGUAUUUA